This 916-nucleotide ribosomal RNA is filed under the name uncultured archaeon. RNAcentral's name for it is "bacterial SSU rRNA". It matches the Rfam family "Archaeal small subunit ribosomal RNA", at positions 1 to 923 of the family's 1478-position model. The record is from RNAcentral.
UUUCCGGUUGAUCCCGCCAGACCCGACUGCUAUCAGAGUGAGACUAAGCCAUGCGAGUCAACGUAUGAAUAAUACGUGGCGAACGGCUCAGUAACACGUAGUCAACAUGCCCAAAGGACGUGGAUAACCUCGGGAAACUGAGGAUAAACCGCGAUAGGUCAUAAGUACUGGAAUGUUUUAUGGCUCAAAUCUACAUGGCCUCUGGAUUGGACUGCGGCCGAUCAGGCUGUUGGUGAGGUAAUGGCCCACCAAACCUGUUACCGGUACGGGCUCUGAGAGGAGGAGCCCGGAGAUGGGCACUGAGACAAGGGCCCAGGCCCUAUGGGGCGCAGCAGGCGCGAAACCUCUGCAAUAGGCGAAAGCUUGACAGGGUUACUCUGAGUGAUUCCCGCUAAGGGAAUCUUUUGGCAUCUCUAAAAACGAUGCAGAAUAAGGGGUGGGCAAGUCUGGUGUCAGCCGCCGCGGUAAUACCAGCACCCCGAGUGGUCGGGACGAUUAUUGGGCCUAAAGCAUCCGUAGCCGGUCUUGCAAGUCUUCCGUUAAAUCCACCUGCUUAACAGAUGGGCUGCGGAAGAUACUACAAGACUAGGAGGCGGGAGAGGCAAGCGGUACUCAGUGGGUAGGGGUAAAAUCCUCUGAUCCAUUGAAGACCACCAGUGGCGAAGGCGGCUUGCCAGAACGCGCUCGACGGUGAGGGAUGAAAGCUGGGGGAGCAAACCGGAUUAGAUACCCGGGUAGUCCCAGCUGUAAACGAUGCAGACUCGGUGAUGGGCCGGCUUCAUGCCGGCUCAGUGCCGCAGGGAAGCCGUUAAGUCUGCCGCCUGGGGAGUACGGUCGCUAGACUGAAACUUAAAGGAAUUGGCGGGGGAGCACCACAAGGGGUGAAGCUGCGGUUCAAUUGGAUUCAACGCCGGGA